UACAGAGGGUGCAAGCGUUAAUCGGAAUUACUGGGCGUAAAGGGUGCGUAGGUGGUUCUUUAAGUCAGAUGUGAAAUCCCUGGGCUCAACCUAGGAAUUGCGUUUGAGACUGAAGAACUAGAGUACAGGAGAGGGAAGUGGAAUUUCCGGUGUAGCGGUGAAAUGCGUAGAUAUCGGAAGGAACAUCAGUGGCGAAGGCGACUUCCUGGACUGUUACUGACACUGAGGCACGAAAGCGUGGGGAGCGAAC
This 250-nucleotide ribosomal RNA is filed under the name uncultured bacterium. RNAcentral's name for it is "partial 16S ribosomal RNA". It matches the Rfam family "Bacterial small subunit ribosomal RNA", at positions 524 to 773 of the family's 1533-position model. The record is from RNAcentral.